Molecule: ribosomal RNA, 557 nt
Filed under: Bradyrhizobiaceae bacterium StRD652
Lineage: Bacteria; Pseudomonadati; Pseudomonadota; Alphaproteobacteria; Hyphomicrobiales; Nitrobacteraceae
Description: bacterial SSU rRNA
Rfam family: Bacterial small subunit ribosomal RNA
Source: RNAcentral
ACGGGUGAGUAACGCGUGGGAACGUACCUUUUGGUUCGGAACAACUGAGGGAAACUUCAGCUAAUACCGGAUAAGCCCUUACGGGGAAAGAUUUAUCGCCGAAAGAUCGGCCCGCGUCUGAUUAGCUAGUUGGUGAGGUAAGAGCUCACCAAGGCGACGAUCAGUAGCUGGUCUGAGAGGAUGAUCAGCCACACUGGGACUGAGACACGGCCCAGACUCCUACGGGAGGCAGCAGUGGGGAAUAUUGGACAAUGGGCGAAAGCCUGAUCCAGCCAUGCCGCGUGAGUGAUGAAGGCCCUAGGGUUGUAAAGCUCUUUUGUGCGGGAAGAUAAUGACGGUACCGCAAGAAUAAGCCCCGGCUAACUUCGUGCCAGCAGCCGCGGUAAUACGAAGGGGGCUAGCGUUGCUCGGAAUCACUGGGCGUAAAGGGUGUGUAGGCGGAUCUUUAAGUCAGGGGUGAAAUCCUGGAGCUCAACUCCAGAACUGCCUUUGAUACUGAGGGUCUUGAGUUCGGGAGAGGUGAGUGGAACUGCGAGUGUAGAGGUGAAAUUCGUAGA